AGCGUAUUUUUUGUAGAUCGUUGACAACAAAUGACAAUUAAAUCCAUUUGAAUCCCACUUUGUAACAACAAAAUUGAAGGGCUGUUGACAUUUUCUGAAGGCGCUGUACAUGUUUUUUGCUCAUUCCUCUUUUGCAUGAUUGGUAUUGGUAAAUUUCCCCAUCUCCUUCUUUUAUACUUCCCCAGUGAGAAUACCCAAGUAUCAAAUGUGAGAAACCUGAGAAGAAAAGCAGCACAGACUACAUACUACACCAAAUCUAUAACAAUGUGUUAUUUGAGUCAGAACAGGUGUCUGGAAGUGAUGUUUGAAUGAGGUCAACAACAAACAUAUGAGAAUGAUUAGAGACACAGGAGAGGAGUGCUUCUGUGGUUUAUAAUUAAUCCACGAGUUGCUCUUUGAUCAUGGGAUAAAAUACUAUAGAACAAAAAUAAGUUGUUGCUGGAUAGUAAACAAUGCCGGGAAAGCGUUUGUCCAAACAAACUUCCUGAAGAACUCAAGGCCCUCAUGUAGUGGGAAAUGUUUAAAGCCUUGUGGCUUAUGCAUGGCAAGAACAAAAAACACUGAUGCGUUGUGGCUACAACAGCCUUCAACAGGGUGACCCUGAACUUAUUUGGCUAUUCAGUUGAGUUUCAUUUUAUUUCACAUAUGAAUAUAUCAAAUUUGGUCCCAAUUGGCACAUUGUACACAUAUACAUUUGCUCUAAUAAGAUAAGUAGAGAGUAUGAUAGCUCAGCACACAAGUAGUCUGUGAGAAGAAGGGUAUAGGUACCAUUUUAAGCACAAUGCUCUUUGGCUAUGUAGUGACAUCCGUUUGACACUGACACGUACAGUGUGAACUGUUGCUGCGUUUCAAUACCCUCGUGUUUGCUGUUUGUGCAGUUUUGCAUUUUGCAAUUGUAUUUGAUGUUUGUAUCUUUGUAAUUAACAGGCCUCAUUUAAGAAAGAGACCUUGGCCUCAAUAAGACUCCCUGUCCAAAUAAGGUUAAAUAUAAAAUAUAAGAAAUGAUACAAUACAUUUUUAGGUAAGUGUUCGGAAACCCCUUGUGUGUUUGAUCUGUCGGUGCUCAGCUUAUCGCAGUGUGUUGCAAAGUUCAGAGGAUGUCCUCUGUGGAUUGCACCAUUUCCCUUCUGUUUGAACUAUCUACACACCAGCUACACACCAUGAAACCCCCAUCCUACCCAACAUUUGAUUAUUGAACUUUAGACAGAACUUUCUCUUUACCCGUUGCUAUUUGUGGCAAGUUUCAUCAUAACAACAGUACCAAAAAAAAUUUAUGUUCUGUUCCCCAUGGGGCUUUUAUGCUAUACUGCAGACAUUGUCACAUGUACAUUGGAGUCAUUUAGCAGACUCUCUUAUCCAGAGCGACUUACAGUAGUGAGUGCAUACAUUUUCAUGCUGUUUUCAUACUGGUUCCCCCGUGGGAAUCGAGUCACCGUGGGAAUACCAAGUGUUAUGACUGGGUGGGUUUCUUAUUUCUGUAACAGGAUCCACCUAAUGUUGCAGAAAAGAGGAAUUGCAGAAUUCUGACAAGUGGAGUACUUCUGUGUGUUGACCUGAGCCCUAGGACCAUGCCCCAGGACUACCUGACAUGAUGACUCCUUGCUGUCCCCAGUCCACCUGGCCGUGCUGCUGCUCCAGUUUCAACUGUUCUGCCUUAUUAUUAUACGACCAUGCUGGUCAUUUAUGAACAUUUGAACAUCUUGGCCAUGUUCUGUUAUAAUCUCUACCCGGCACAGCCAGAAGAGGACUGGCCACCCCACAUAGCCUGGUUCCUCUCUAGGUUUCUUCCUAGGUUUUGGCCUUUCUAGGGAGUUUUUCCUAGCCACCGUGCUUCUACACCUGCAUUGCUUGCUGUUUGGGGUUUUAGGCUGGGUUUCUGUACAGCACUUUGAGAUAUCAGCUGAUGUACGAAGGGCUAUAUAAAUACAUUUGAUUUGAUUUUGAUUUGAUGAGUGAGAAAAUAAAUACACAUCAACAUAUUUACAUUUAAGUCUAGAAGAAAUAAUCAUAUAGCCUACUGCUAAAUAUGUGAUGCUCUGCCCCACCUGCCCUAAAUGACUGGUCACCACGGUGUACAAUGCAUCUCAUUCAUCAGUUGUGAUACAAUUUAAGGAUCCUUUUAUUGGGAUUUUCUUAGAAAAUAAAUCCACAAUUGUUAUGUAAAGAUUUUAGUGCAUACAAACUUAACAUGUGAACUAGGUCAUUGUUGCCUAAAAAUGACAUUGGUACACUGUUGGGAUUUUGUAAAUACUGCACAAAAAUAAAUACAAAUAAAAUACUCAAAUGUGUUAUUAAAUUG
Molecule: long non-coding RNA, 2299 nt
Organism: Oncorhynchus kisutch (coho salmon)
Lineage: Eukaryota; Metazoa; Chordata; Actinopteri; Salmoniformes; Salmonidae
Exons: 2
Source: RefSeq, a predicted model, not a curated record